AGUGAACGCUGGCGGUAGGCCUAACACAUGCAAGUCGAACGGCAGCACAGUAAGAGCUUGCUCUUACGGGUGGCGAGUGGCGGACGGGUGAGGAAUACAUCGGAAUCUACUUUUUCGUGGGGGAUAACGUAGGGAAACUUACGCUAAUACCGCAUACGACCUACGGGUGAAAGCAGGGGAUCUUCGGACCUUGCGCGAUUGAAUGAGCCGAUGUCGGAUUAGCUAGUUGGCGGGGUAAAGGCCCACCAAGGCGACGAUCCGUAGCUGGUCUGAGAGGAUGAACAGGCACACGGGAACGAAGACAGGGUCAGGGCGGCGACGUGAGGCAGAGGGUGGGGAGAGGGGACAAUGGGCGCGAGCAUGGUCCAGCGUUAACGAGGGGGAGAAAAAGGCGUACGGUUUGUAAAGCCAUUUUGGUGGGAAAGAAAAGCAGCAGGUUAAUACCCCGCUGUUCUGACGGUACCGAAAGAAGAAGCACCGGCUAACUUCAUG
RNAcentral lists this ribosomal RNA (492 nucleotides) under uncultured bacterium. RNAcentral's name for it is "partial 16S ribosomal RNA". It matches the Rfam family "Bacterial small subunit ribosomal RNA", at positions 30 to 507 of the family's 1533-position model. The record is from RNAcentral.